GGAGCACGCAGGUGACGGCGGGGCGGGUGGUAGAUCGCUGAGUGGCCAGGCUGCCUGACUGGCCGGCUUGGGCGUCUGGGCCGUGAAGGUGGGACCGCCGGUUGUGGGCGGCAAGUUCCCCUCUCCAGCCUCCCGCCGUUCGUAGCAUGUCCCCCAGAACCCGGGGAGCGCAGGCAGGACUGGCUUAGAGAAGACGCCGUCCCUAGCACUUGGGCCACGGACGUGCCACCCCGCUCCUCUAUUGCUGGAGAACCGCCGAGCCAAGCCGCUGGGAGAAGCAGGCCAGAGCCUUCCAGGGCCUCCGGCCCGGGGACCCGAGGAGAAUGAGCUGGCUCUUUCCCCUGAGCAAGAGCGCCUCCUCGUCCGCAGCUGGGUCCCCCGGUGGCCUCACCAGCCUCCAGCAGCAGAAACAGCGCCUGAUCGAGUCCCUCCGGAACUCACACUCCAGUAUAGCUGAAAUACAGAAAGAUGUGGAAUACAGAUUGCCAUUCACCAUAAACAACCUGACAAUUAACAUUAAUAUAUUGCUUCCUCCACAAUUUCCUCAGGAAAAACCAGUGAUCAGUGUUUAUCCACCGAUACGACAUCACUUAAUGGAUAAACAAGGAGUGUAUGUUACCUCUCCAUUAGUAAACAAUUUUACCAUGCACUCAGAUCUUGGAAAAAUUAUUCAAAGUCUGUUGGAUGAGUUUUGGAAGAACCCUCCAGUUUUAGCUCCUACUUCAACAGCAUUUCCUUAUCUAUACAGUAACCCAAGUGGGAUGCCUCCUUAUGCUUCUCAGGGUUUUCCAUUUCUUCCUCCAUAUCCUCCACAAGAAGCAAACAGGAGCAUCACUUCUUUAUCUGUUGCUGACACUGUUUCUUCUUCAACAACAAGUUACGCCACAGCCAAACCUGCCGCUCCUUCAUUUGGUGUCCUUUCAAAUCUGCCGUUACCCAUUCCCACAAUGGGUGCUUCAGUACCGACAAGUCAAAAUGGUUUUGGUUACAAGAUGCCAGAUGUCCCUGAUGCAUUUCCAGAACUCUCAGAACUAAGUGUGACACAACUCACAGAUAUGAAUGAACAAGAGGAGGUAUUACUAGAACAGUUUCUGACUUUGCCUCAACUAAAACAAAUUAUUACUGACAAAGAUGACUUAGUAAAAAGUAUUGAGGAACUAGCAAGAAAAAAUCUCCUUUUGGAGCCCAGCUUGGAAGCCAAAAGGCAAACUGUUUUAGAUAAGUAUGAAUUACUUACACAAAUGAAGUCUACUUUCGAAAAGAAGAUGCAAAGGCAGCAUGAACUUAGUGAGAGCUGUAGUGCAAGUGCCCUACAGGCAAGAUUGAAAGUAGCUGCACAUGAAGCUGAGGAAGAAUCUGAUAAUAUUGCAGAAGACUUCUUGGAGGGAAAGAUGGAAAUAGAUGAUUUUCUCAGUAGCUUCAUGGAAAAGAGAACAGUAUGUAAUACUCGUCAAUUGAGGACAAGUAUUGAAUAAAGUUUGGUAUUUUUAUAGGGAGGAGAAGCACUGGGUCUUAGCUAUUUCUCUAUUAUGCUAUCAUCCCCCUUUUUUUGUACAAUAUAUUAUUUACCUGAAAGGAAGGUUUUUAUUUCUUGGGUGUGGACUUGGGCAAAAACCAGGUACCUGGAACUUAAAACUUUGAAGGUCUGUCAUAGGACUCUGGACAGCCACACACCUUAGCUAUUCCCAGGGAACCCCAUGGGGGGCAAGUGCCAUUGUUCUAAGAUGUCCUUUUGAUGUGACUUGAGAAGUAAAUGAGAGUGAGGGCCUGUACGUGUGGCUAUUUCCUGUCUGGUAUGUCAGAGGAACAGUCCUGGUGAGAAAGGGGCUCGUCUGAGCAGAAAUUGCUAAUAAACUUUGUGCUGAUCUGGGAAAAAAAAUUUUUUUUUGACAGUAUAAUAUCAAAUUACUUUAGCAUACUCAUGAGUGAAAAACAUCAGCACAUUACUGAAGUGGAGUUUUGAGUGCUGUGAGAGGAACCUGAAAAGCCUCGUGAGAAUAAUAGCAUCAUCCUCCUAUCACUUUAGACUUGCUUUAUCUGAGUAUACAAGCAGAUUUGCCACUGUAGAAGAGCCAAGGAAGAGAAACUUCAGCAGGCAAUAGCAAUGCACAGCCAAUUUCAUGCUCCACUAUAGAUUUUCCUGGAAACACGAACUGCCAAGAGAGGAAUGGGACACAAAACUAAACACCAUAAAUUAUGGUUUGCAAACUGGCAUUUCAUCAGUGGCUAAAUUCACAGAUAUCCUAUAUAGAUUGUAUACAGAACUGAGACUGAUUUUGUACAGAUUAGAAUGAUUGCUAUGAUCUUUACUUUAAGAAGUUUUUCUGCACUAUUUGCACUGAAAUAUUUAUUGUUGAUAAACCCUAUCAUAUUUAAGUUCCACUGCUGUUCCACUUACCUUGCUUAAAUGCCUAUGCAUGUAAUUUUAGCUAGUUUUUAAUAUUUUAUAAAACUUCAUUUAAAUUUGUAUUUUUAACUUGAAGCUCCAUUUCUUUAUCAAGAGUGGUAUGUAGAUUUUUUUCCUCUUAACCUUUUUUGAAAAACUAUUUUCAACUGUGAGGGAACCCUUAUUUUUCUUUCUUUCUGGAUAAAACUUUCAAAAGCAAUUUAAGAUAUUCAUAGUAUUAGGAAACACUAAACCUGCCUAUGUGCCAUCUCACAAAAGAAACUUUUAAUACCUACAAUAAAUCAAAAGAAUAAACCAGCUGUUCUUAAAUAUUGUUUCAUUUUUAAAACUAAAGAUGCAUUUAAGAAGCAAUACAAGUAAAUAUUUUAUCUAAUAGAAAAAAAAAGUUGCCUUUCAUUUAAACCAGUCCAACACAAACUCUCAUGCUAAUUUUUUAAAAAAUAAGUAUCUGGUAGGUUUGUGGCUGGAUAGGUUUCCUAAAUUCCUAAUGUUAAUAAACAGUAAAUCUAUACACAAAAAAGUCAAUGAACUUAUCUGACCUUUACUGUGAGUUAGCUUUUCCUAAGAGAAAAGCUAUAGUAAUAAAUAAAAUUUAAUUUUUAGGCAGUCCUGAUUUUUAAUGAAUUUGAGUGUUCUUGUGUACUGUGUUCAGCAAUUUGCUUCUAUACCGUGUCACAAAAUUAACGUAUUUCUUGAGUAGUCCUAAAAACUCAUAAAGGAAAAUGCCAUGAACUGUGUAGCUGAGGCUUGCUAAGGUACCAUCUAAAUUACACAACAGACUAAUGCAUAAUUUCGCUUAAAUGUCAUCCCGGUAUGAUUGUCUUCCCAACACCAGCAUACAAUAUAGAUUUUCUUUUUUAUAUUUUUUAGUUCUUCCUGUACAUGUUUUUGGCAAUAAAGUUAUAGGAAAAACAAAAUUAUUUUGUUGGAAUUAAAACAUGCUUAAUAUUUAGUCUGUUUGUGGAGGAGAAGUAUUCACGUGGACUAAGAUAUAAUGUUGGAUACAGAAAAUAACUUUCCUUGUCUCCCUGGCACUGUGCUAAGGGCAUGCUGUUAAAUCUUCAAAAUGACCAGAUGAGGAAGGAAUAAUUAUUACUCCUGAUUUAUAGAUAACUGAAGUAAAAGUUUCAAAUUUAUGAUAGUCUUUUGGGUAUUCAGAAACCUUUCCUUACUGUACUGGCCACCAGAGCUUAAUUUUCCCAGCAGUUACAGCAAUGGAAGAUAUAACGGUCUCAAUCUUUUGCCAACAAUCGGGUUCCUAGAAAUCAGGUGUAUUGCAUAACAAGGGAGGAGCAUACCACAGCCCUUCAUUUGAUUAAUUCAUUUGAUCUAUUUUAUUAAGUACCUACUAAGAAUAAGGCAUUGUGGAAAUACUCUACAAAGAUAAACAUUGCUUAGAUGCUUAUCUGCUUUCCUGUUCACCAAAAACAAACAAAAAACCCGAAACAUUUUCUUACGGAGUAAAUAUCUUCUACAUAAUCACAUGAGUAGUUCAUCUCUGUGUUUUUUUUUAAAUUGAACUAUUAUUCCAGUUUCAUUCUAUACCAGUUAACAUAGCUUAGGUUCUCCUUCAAAAUUCAUUCAUUAGAUAACCUUGUUACAACCCAGUCAUUAAACAGAGGAGUUAGAUCACAAUUAUCUGCAUUUAACAAAUAGAUAAAUCAGUUCACAUAAAGGUUAUAUAUGUCACCCAGGAUGAAAAGAAUCUGCAUUUGAAUAUGCCCGUGUGAAUGUGGGUUCUGUUUUUGCAACAGAUUAAGUGACCAUUUUUUCUAAUUUUAUGGCUAUAUAUUUUUUCUUAUGAAUUGGCCACAUUGGAGAAGCAGUGCCACGGGAAAAAUGAGAUGGAAAUCAGAAUUAGAGAGGAAUACUUAGGAGUUAUUAAUCAGUGUAGGAAUUUGUCAUAGGAAGAAAUUUAAAGGUUAAUAUCUCAAAAUAGAAGAAAAUUCUAAAUCAGUGAGAUAUAAACUAAAGAGACCCACUUCAAAGUUGAAAGAAAUUUCUAGGCAUAAAUUGAGACUAGGAAAUUUAUAUCAGAAUAGAGGGUGCAUGACACAUAUAUAUGCUUAAAUUGAAGGACAGCUCAGAUUCAUUUUUAGAAGAAAGUAAACUAAUGUGCUCUUAAAUAAUAAAAAUUUAUUCUAUGGUUUCUGUCUCGAUCGUCACCUUCCAUUCUAUAGAAAGUUCAGUUACUGAUUUGCUGGGUCAUGGUCAAAAUUCUUACUCAUUUAACAUCAAAUUUAAAAAAUACUUGCGUUCUAAAUAUUACUAAUUGGGAAGUAAUAUGCCUCAAAUCAACUUUAUACUGGAUUAUUCCCUAUGCUUUAAACCACUGCUCUCAAUAUAACACUUCCUGAUAAAUGUUUGAUUAUUCGAUAUUUUAGUCUCGUUGGGUUAGCCAUGCUCUUUGAAGAAUCUGUGAAAGUAAAGUUUUAAUAAGCAAUAAAUGCAACAUUUUAUAUAAAUCUCAGUGCUAGGUUAACUUCUAAUAAGUAGACAAACAUGUUACAUAAAUUAUAAUGUCUUGUAAAAAAGUUGAGGGGACUAAAAGUUUAUGACUCUGAUGUAGAAGAUGUCAUAUUAAAAAACUGCAUUUUAAAACAUCAAAUAUUUAUACUAUUUGCUUUUCAAAUAAAUGCAUAGUGCUGUUUGGCA
This is an RNA transcript of Rhinopithecus roxellana (golden snub-nosed monkey), 5062 nucleotides long. It is a transcript of the gene named VPS37A subunit of ESCRT-I, with no coding region annotated. The transcript is spliced from 12 exons. The record is from RefSeq and is a predicted model, not a curated record. NCBI's taxonomy places the organism in Eukaryota, Metazoa, Chordata, Mammalia, Primates, Cercopithecidae.